Molecule: long non-coding RNA, 2577 nt
Organism: Helianthus annuus (common sunflower)
Lineage: Eukaryota; Viridiplantae; Streptophyta; Magnoliopsida; Asterales; Asteraceae
Exons: 5
Source: RefSeq, a predicted model, not a curated record
GCUCCCUUCAUUCUCUUUCUCUCUCUCAAAUUCCUCCCUCUCUCAAGUUCUUUCCUCUCAUCUCCAUGGAAACAUGUUAUUUUCAAGAUCUACCAACGAUCUCAACGUUUCUUUUGUUUAAUCUCUCUUCAGCACGCACGUGUAAUGGUGGUUGUCCGGGCUCGAAAGUGCUUAUGGUCAGUGCUAGCCUGCUAGGGGGUUUCGGUUGGGAGCUUCUCAAAACUCUAGCUCUUUCAGGUUUUUCGGAUAUUCAUAUUUGUCAAAACUGGGUAAAGAUGUUGAUGACUUGUUGAUGGAAAAGAACCCCAGGCCUGAGGUUUACACAGAAGAACAACAAUUAUCUGUAAUCAUUGGCUCAAAAGUGCUUAUGGUCGGUGCUGGUGGUUUCGGUUGAGAGCUUCUCAAAACUCUAGCUCUUUCAGGUUUUCAGGAUAUUCAUAUUUUAAUUCAACUUUGUGCUAAUGCGAGUUUUAGUUAUUGUUGCUAUUAUUGUUAUUAUUAUAUUGUUGUUUUGAGUAUAAUUAGUAGUUUGUGGAUUCUCUAUGGUAGGUUUUUGACUUUAAGGGUUUAGUUUGUUUGCUAUAUUUUGGUGUAGUUGGUGUUACUGUUACUGGCUGUUUAUGACACAAUUUAGUUAGCAGAUUUGUUUUUUAUAUGGUUAAUGGAUAAUAAUUGUAUUGGUUUUCAACUUUUUGUUAUUUUUAUUUAAUUUAUGAUGAUUAAUUGUAUAAUGUUUGUUCAGAUGGGUUUUUUCUUUGGUUUUUCUGUUUGUGUUUAGCUGUUAAUGGCAGUAGACAUGAUUGGAUUUGGAUGAAUUAUGUACUAAUUAGCUUGUGAUAUGUGAGUAGGAUUAUGUUUUUAAUAUUUUUUAGUCUUGAUUGUUGGAGUAUGUAAUAGAGAAAGCUGUGGAAUGUGUAGUUAGAGCAACAUUCAUGGAUUGAUUGUUUGAUGCUUUUCUUUAAAAACUACACUUAUUUGAACUAUAAUUUUGAUUUCCUUUGCAUAUUUGACUUUAAGUUAUAGUGAUUCUGUGUUGUUUGUUUUGAUUUGAUUUGUCGAUUCCAACACUCAUCCCCAAAUACCAUUAUCCCGCUUAUUCUUUUCAUUUGCGGAGGCUAGGAAGAACCAGAAAGAUAAUGGAAGGAGAAACUCUAGAGAAGGUAGAGGUGGCAAAGGGAACUAGGGUUUCGGCAAAGGGGUUUGGUUAAACAUGUUAAACUCUGAAAUGAAAAGGAUGUGUGACAGGUCUGAGUUGAACAAAAACACUUAUCGAGUUUCAAAAUUCAAAUGAUCAUGUUCCUUCCUUCCUUCUUCACUUCUCUCUAUAUCUCUGCGCUCCAUCUCGCUCUCUCUCUCUCUCUCUCUCUCUCUCUCUUUUUGGGGCUCGAUUUGACGACGCUGACUUAUCACAGAAGUCCUGAACCCAGAUGUAUCAUCACAGAAUCUUGCGGUAGAAGGAGAUGUGAACUGUUGUUGCUUGACAUGGAUAUGGAGACUACUUGAUUGACCUGGUGUAAUUCACAACAGACGGUUAAUACACACCCGCAAGACGUAGGCCCACCCCAUUUUUAUCCCAAAGACUAUGUUUUCUUAAUGGGGCCCAUGCCUAGGUAGAAAUGGGACACAACUUUCCCUAUGAAAAUUUCCGACCCCCUGCCACUUGACAGGAGUUGCACCCUCCACACCAAUCGACCGCUUGUUGUGACAGAGUGACCCGCUGGAGUACAUGCACCGUAAUAGAAAACUCGGGUUCCCUCAGGCUUGAACCGGAGUCCUUACCAUCCUUGGGUUGAGAAUAACCCCAAUGCCUCACCUUUUGAUGGAGGUGGGGAUUGAACCUGAGACCACUCAUAUGGCCCAAGUCCCUUCCACCACUCCACCAAAGGAUCACUGGCCUUUAUAUCUCUAAUUAAGUUAGACUUUUCACUCAUCCUCAACUCUUGUAUAAUAAUAGACUAUGUGUCUCAUUUGAGAAAAAGAACAUCUAGAAAAAUACAAGAGAAGAUACAAGAAAAUUAUAUGAAUAUAUGGAGAGUUAUUGAAAAGAAAAGAUACUUGAAGACCCAUGUGUUGGUACUUAGAGAGAUAUGUUUUCUCUAUUCAAUUUCACCACCGUCACAUCUUUAUUUGUUUCAUAAGUUCAAAUACUACAAUUAUCCAGUGUAACCUCGGGCGUGUAGCCAUCUUAGACAGUACAGACUGCUUCGGUUGUUGUAUCCUGGGAGACAGACGCGUCAUUUUUGAUAGAGGUGUGAAAUCUGUUUUAAGGGAAAUGUGUUAAACACAUGCCUCAACCAAAAUCGUCAACGUUUUAGUGUGCUCUUUGUUGCAGUCAAGGAGCAUUUUUCAAGACUUAAGAUGAUGAACACUCGAGUCUAAGAUGCUAUCAAGUGCGCGUGAAGGACCUACCAGAGAUGUGGCUUGAAUCAAGAUUGGUAUAUAUAAUUAUAUUUUAUAUACCUUUUAUUUAGUUACUGCAAUCGUUAUUGUACUGUGAUAUUUCCUACGAAUAACGAGAGUCUCAUUAAUAUAUAUUUUGUAAUUAUAUUUUAUAAAAGGUGAAUCUAAUUCCUACAA